AGGGGUGUAGCCUAGUGGUAGGGCAGCGGACUUUGACUCCGCCUGUGAUGGUUCGAUUCCAUCCAUCCCUGCCA
RNAcentral lists this transfer RNA (74 nucleotides) under Clostridia bacterium. RNAcentral's name for it is "tRNA-Gln". It matches the Rfam family "tRNA". From Rfam's summary of the family: Transfer RNA (tRNA) molecules are approximately 80 nucleotides in length. Their secondary structure includes four short double-helical elements and three loops (D, anti-codon, and T loops). Lineage: Bacteria; Bacillati; Bacillota; Clostridia. The record is from RNAcentral.